CCAGGUGACAUUUGUGGCUGUCCCCAGAUCCCGCUGGCCUGGCCGGUGUCGCGGUUCAGGGGGUGACAGAGAUGACACCAGGAGGUGACACAGGUGACAGGGAGGUGACACAGGUGACACAGGUGACACAGGUGACCCAGGUGACGUUUGUCCCUGUCCCCAGAUCCCGCUGGCCUGGCUGGUGUCGCGGUUCCUGCGCGGUGACUAUGGCAAUGGUGUCACGGUUCAGGGGGUGACAGGGGGUGACAGGGAGGUGACACAGGUGACACAGGUGACACAGGUGACAGGGAGGUGACCCAGGUGACACAGGUGACCCAGGUGACGUUUGUCCCCGUCCCCAGAUCCCGCUGGCCUGGCUGGUGUCGCGGUUCCUGCGCGGUCACUACGGCAACGCCGCCGUGUGGAUGUCGCUGAUCCUGGGCCAGCCCAUCGCCGUGCUCAUGUACGUGCACGACUACUACGUGCUCAACUGCGAGGGCACCCCCUGAGCCACCCCCGAACUGCCGGGGGCACCCCAAAAACCGACGGGGGACCCCAAAAACCGACAUGGACACCCCAAAACCACCAUGGACACCCCAAAACCACCAUGGACACCCCAAAACUGCUCAUGUACGUGCACGACUGCUACGUGCUCAACUGCGAGGGCACCCCCUGAGCCACCCCC
Ficedula albicollis (Collared flycatcher) is the source of this 664-nucleotide long non-coding RNA. RefSeq lists it as uncharacterized. Lineage: Eukaryota; Metazoa; Chordata; Aves; Passeriformes; Muscicapidae. The record is from RefSeq and is a predicted model, not a curated record. The transcript is spliced from 2 exons.